AAGAUUUUAAGUUAAAAAAACUCUAUACCUUCAAAGUAUAAUAUAAACAUCAUAUUUAAAUCUUA
This 65-nucleotide transfer RNA is filed under the name Microdiplogynium sp. XFX. RNAcentral's name for it is "tRNA-Trp". Lineage: Eukaryota; Metazoa; Arthropoda; Arachnida; Mesostigmata; Diplogyniidae. The record is from RNAcentral.